RNAcentral lists this ribosomal RNA (1298 nucleotides) under Mycoplasmataceae bacterium RV_VA103A. RNAcentral's name for it is "bacterial SSU rRNA". The stretch from base 501 to 1298 matches the Rfam family "Bacterial small subunit ribosomal RNA". Lineage: Bacteria; Bacillati; Mycoplasmatota; Mollicutes; Mycoplasmatales; Mycoplasmataceae. The record is from RNAcentral.
AGGCGGAUGGAUAUAGCAAAAAUGAAAAAUUGCUUUUCCAAAGCCGUGCAUUAGAAGAAUUGAAUGACCUUUAUAAUAUUGUCUGUAAAAAAAAAUGUUUACAAAUUAGGAGAAAAUGAUUAAAUCAUUUAACUCCUUUAUCAUUGGCUAUUUGAUGAUGUGAUGACGGAUCAAUUAUUUCUAAUGGUCGGAGAGGUGUGUUAUGCACUGAUGGAUUUACCAAAGACGCCGUCGAAAUUUUAGUCAGAUAUCUAAAAGUGUGCUGACAAGUUGAGGCGAGGAUUGGUCCUAUCCACCGAAAAAGAGAUGAUGACAGUAGCAGCAAAGAAUAUUACCGGAUCUGGUUUAGUACGGAGGAAUUAAAAAAAUUCCUACGGUUAAUUUUACCAUUUAUUCCGGUUCCAAGUAUGAUUAGAAAAGCCUUAAUAAUUUAUAAGAAUCCCGAACUUCAACAACGCUGAAUCUCUGAACUAAAAAAUCUCACUCCUCAUUAUUCUAAAAAUAUUGAUGAGGAACUGGUUAAGAAAAAACAGAGAAUGAUAUAGUCCAAUUUGGCAUUAGCCAAUUUGACCCUAGUAGUCCACGCCCUAAACGAUGAGUGCUAGAUAUUGGGAACUUGAUUCUCGGUGUCGCUAGGUAACCCGGUAAGCACUCCGCCUGGGUAGUACGCUCGCAAGAGUGAAACUCAAAGGAAUUGACGGGGACUCGCACAAGCACUGGAGCAUGUGGUUUAAUCCGAUGCAACGCGUAGAACCUUACCAAGGCUUGACAUGUUUGGCAAAACUGUGGAAACACAGCGGAGGUUAUCCAAACACAGGUGCUGCAUGGCCGUCGUCAGUUCGUGCCGUGAGGUGUAUGGUUAAGUCCUAUAACGAACGCAACCCUUGGGCUUAGUUGCCAGCAUUCAGUUGGGGACUCUAGGCCGACUGCCUGAGUAAUCAGGAGGAAGGAAAGGAUGACGUCUGGUCGUCAUGGCCCUUAUGUCUUGGGCGACACACGUGCUACAAUGGUUAAUACAAAGGGACGCCAACCCGCGAGGGGGAGCAAAUCUCAAAAAAUUAGCCUCAGUUCGGAUUGGAGGCUGCAACUCGCCUCCAUGAAGCCGGAAUUGCUAGUAAUCGCCAAUCAGCCAUGUGGCGGUGAAUACGUUCUCGAGUCUUGUACACACCGCCCGUCAAAUCACGAAAGUCGGUAAUGCCUGAAACCAGUCUGUUAACCGCAAGGAUACGGCUGACAAGGGUAGGAUUGGCAAUUGGGGUUAAGUCGUAACAAGGUAUCCGUAGGGGAAUCUGCGGAUG